AGUGAACGCUGGCGGUAGGCCUAACACAUGCCAGUCGAACGGCAGCACAGUAAGAGCUUGCUCUUACGGGUGGCGAGUGGCGGACGGGUGAGGAAUACAUCGGAAUCUACUUUUUCGUGGGGGAUAACGUAGGGAAACUUACGCUAAUACCGCAUACGACCUACGGGUGAAAGCAGGGGAUCUUCGGACCUUGCGCGAUUGAAUGAGCCGAUGUCGGAUUAGCUAGUUGGCGGGGUAAAGGCCCACCAAGGCGACGAUACGUAGCUGGACUGAGAGGAGGAUCAGCCACACUGGAACUGGGACACGGUCCAGACUCCUACGGGAGGCAGCAGUGGGGAAUAUUGGACAAUGGGCGCAAGCCUGAUCCAGCCAUACCGCGUGGGUGAAGAAGGCCUUCGGGUUGUAAAGCCCUUUUGUUGGGAAAGAAAAGCAGCAGGUUAAUACCCCGCUGUUCUGACGGUACCCAAAGAAUAAGCACCGGCUAACUUCGUG
RNAcentral lists this ribosomal RNA (492 nucleotides) under uncultured bacterium. RNAcentral describes it as "partial 16S ribosomal RNA". It matches the Rfam family "Bacterial small subunit ribosomal RNA", at positions 29 to 507 of the family's 1533-position model. The record is from RNAcentral.